UACGGAGGGUGCAAGCGUUGUCCGGAUUUAUUGGGUUUAAAGGGUGCGUAGGCGGCUUUUUAAGUCAGUGGUGAAAUAUGGCAGCUCAACUGUCAGGGUGCCAUUGAUACUGCGGAGCUUGAGUACAGAUGAGGUAGGCGGAAUUGACGGUGUAGCGGUGAAAUGCUUAGAUAUCAUCAAGAACACCGAUAGCGAAGGCAGCUUACUAGGCUUUAACUGACGCUGAGGCACGAAAGCGUGGGGAGCAAAC
Molecule: ribosomal RNA, 250 nt
Filed under: uncultured Cytophagia bacterium
Lineage: Bacteria; Pseudomonadati; Bacteroidota; Cytophagia
Description: partial 16S ribosomal RNA
Rfam family: Bacterial small subunit ribosomal RNA
Source: RNAcentral